Molecule: ribosomal RNA, 468 nt
Filed under: uncultured bacterium
Lineage: Bacteria
Description: partial 16S ribosomal RNA
Rfam family: Bacterial small subunit ribosomal RNA
Source: RNAcentral
GACGAACGCUGGCGGCGUGCUUAACACAUGCAAGUCGAACGGAAAGGCCCUGCUUUUGUGGUGUGCUCGAGUCGCGAACGGGAGUGUAACACGUGAGUAACCUGCCCUACACUUUGGUAUAACUUCAAGAAACUGGGGAUUAUCCCGGAUAGGCGCUCCUGCUGCUUGGUGGUGGUAGGAAAGUUUCGGCGGUUGGGGAUGGACUGCCGGCUUAUUAGCUGGUUGGUGGGGUAGUGGCUUACCAAGGCUUUGGCGGUCAGCCGGCCUGGGGGGGGGACCGGCCACAUUGGGACUGGGAAACGGCCCAGACUCCUACGGGAGGCAGCAGGGGGGAAUAUUGCACAAGGGGCGGAAGCCUGAUGCAGCAACGCCGCGUGCGGAAUAACGGCCUUCGGUUGGUAAACCGCUUUCGCCGGUGACGAAGCGUUUGUGACGGUAAUUAGUAAAGAAGCACCGGCUAACUACGUG